RNAcentral lists this unclassified non-coding RNA (774 nucleotides) under soil metagenome. Its description in RNAcentral is "partial contains internal transcribed spacer 1, 5.8S ribosomal RNA, and internal transcribed spacer 2". The stretch from base 175 to 328 matches the Rfam family "5.8S ribosomal RNA". The record is from RNAcentral.
CAAGAAGCCGAAAGGCUACUUAAAACCAUCGCGAACUUAUCCAAGUUGCUUCGGCGGCGCGGCUCCCCUCACGGGGGACCGCAGCCCCCGCCUCUCAGGAGGUAAGGGGCAGCCGCCGGAGGUACGAAACUCUGUAUUAUAGUGGUAUCUCUGAGCAUAAAACAAAUAAGUUAAAACUUUCAACAACGGAUCUCUUGGUUCUGGCAUCGAUGAAGAACGCAGCGAAAUGCGAUAAGUAAUGUGAAUUGCAGAAUUCAGUGAAUCAUCGAAUCUUUGAACGCACAUUGCGCCCGCUAGUACUCUAGCGGGCAUGCCUGUUCGAGCGUCAUUUCAACCCUCAAGCUCUGCUUGGUGUUGGGGCUCUACGUCUGACGUAGGCCCUGAAAGGAAGUGGCGGGCUCGCUACAACUCCGAGCGUAGUAAUUCAUUAUCUCGCUAGGGAAGUGUGGCGUUCUCCAGCCGUUAAAGACCCCAUCUUUAACCAAGGUUGACCUCGGAUCAGGUAGGAAUACCCGCUGAACUUAAGCAUAUCAAUAAGCGGAGGAAUCGCGAUCUUGGUCAUUUAGAGGAAGUAAAAGUCGAAACAAGGUUUCCGUAGGUGAACCUGCGGAAGGAUCACUAGUGAUUAAAUCGAGCGUGUCUUCAUUGACCGCUCACCCUUCUCACCAUCCACAUACACCUGUGCACUGUUUAGCCUGAGCCGGUUUUCCGGUCCAGGUUAUCAUUUCAUACAAACUCUAGUCUUAUGAAUGUAAACGUUUUAAUAACAUAAUA